This 69-nucleotide antisense RNA is filed under the name Saccharothrix carnea. Its description in RNAcentral is "ASpks TB sRNA". It matches the Rfam family "ASpks TB sRNA". Lineage: Bacteria; Bacillati; Actinomycetota; Actinomycetes; Pseudonocardiales; Pseudonocardiaceae. The record is from RNAcentral.
CUUGAGCGAACCGAGCCACAACGGCCGACGCCUGCCCUGGCCGUAGGUGGCGAUCAGCGCCUGCGCCUC